RNAcentral lists this ribosomal RNA (396 nucleotides) under uncultured bacterium. RNAcentral's name for it is "partial 16S ribosomal RNA". It matches the Rfam family "Bacterial small subunit ribosomal RNA", at positions 523 to 918 of the family's 1533-position model. The record is from RNAcentral.
AUACGUAGGGAGCGAGCGUUGUCCGGAAUUACUGGGUGUAAAGGGAGCGUAGGCGGGAUCGCAAGUCAGAUGUGAAAUACAUGGGCUUAACCCAUGGGCUGCAUUUGAAACUGUGGUUCUUGAGUGGAGUAGAGGUAAGCGGAAUUCCUGGUGUAGCGGUGAAAUGCGUAGAUAUCAGGAGGAACACCGGUGGCGAAGGCGGCUUACUGGGCUUUUACUGACGCUGAGGCUCGGAAGCGUGGGGAGCAAACAGGAUUAGAUACCCUGGUAGUCCACGCUGUAAACGAUGAUUACUAGGUGUGGGGGGACUGACCCCUUCCGCGCCGCAGUUAACACAAUAAGUAAUCCACCUGGGGAGUACGGCCGCAAGGUUGAAACUCAAAUGAAUUGACGGGG